AGUCCCAUCACUAAGAGCACGGCUGAUCCAGAGCCUAACGUCCCAGAGUGCAGAGUUUGUGAUGGAGGAGCACAUGCACAGCACUGGACUGCAGACCCAAGAGAGACACUUGUUCCUUUUCAGUGACAAACUCAUCAUCACUAAAUCAAAGUUAGUCCUCAGCAUCUAAAAAUAAUGUCCACUUACUGAACAAGAUGAAUAUGAAUAGAUGAGAACUAACAAUGGGAUAUUAGAAGGAGAUGAUCGUGGACUUCAGGAAACAGCAGAGGGAGCACCCCCCUAUCCACAUCGAUGGGACAGUAGUGGAGAGGGUAGAAAGUUUUAAGUUCCUGGGCGUACACAUCACGUACAAACUGAAUUGGUCCACCCACACAGACAGCGUGGUGAAGAAGGCGCAGCAGCGCCUCUUCAACCUCAGGAGGCUGAAGAAAUUUGGCUUGUCACCAAAAGCACGCACAAACUUUACAGAUGCACAAUCGAGAGCAUCCUGUCGGGCUGUAUCACCGCCUGGUACGGCAACUGCUCCACCCACAACCGUAAGGCUCUCCAGAUGGUAGUGAGGUCUGCACAACGCAUCACCGGGGGACAAACUACCUGCCCUCCAGGACACCUACACCACCCGAUGUCACAGGAAGGCCAUAAAGAUCAUCAAGGACAACAACCACCCGAGCCACUGCCUGUUCACCCACCCUAUCAUCCAGAAGGCGAGUUGGGUUCUUGCAUUGAACUGGUUGCUGAGAGAAAACUGACCCUAAAGAACUCCUUUUUCAUUGUCUGGCCUACCACCAAUUACGUGGGGACUCUCAGCUCAUCUGAGGCAAAGGAGAAAUGUCUUUCAGCUUUACAAUGGUAAGGAAAUACUUACAAAACCCAG
Salvelinus fontinalis (brook trout) is the source of this 874-nucleotide long non-coding RNA. RefSeq lists it as uncharacterized. The record is from RefSeq and is a predicted model, not a curated record. The transcript has 3 exons. Lineage: Eukaryota; Metazoa; Chordata; Actinopteri; Salmoniformes; Salmonidae.